UAGGGAAUCUUCGGCAAUGGACGGAAGUCUGACCGAGCAACGCCGCGUGAGUGAAGAAGGUUUUCGGAUCGUAAUGCUCUGUUGUUAGAGAAGAACGUUGGUAGGAGUGGAAAAUCUACCAAGUGACGGUAACUAACCAGAAAGGUACGGCUAACUACGUGCCAGCAGCCGCGGUAAUACGUAGGUCCCAAGCGUUGUCCGGAUUUAUUGGGCGUAAUGCGAGCGCAGGCGGUUCUUUAAGUCUGAAGUUAAAGGCAGUGGCUUAACCAUUGUACGCUUUGGAAACUGGAGGACUUGGGUGCCGGAGGGGAGAGUGGAAAUCCAGGUGUAGCGGUGAAAUGCGUAGAUAGAUGGAGGAACACAGGUGGCGAAAGCGGCUCUCUGGUCAGUAACUAACGCAGAGGCUCGAAAGCGUGGGGAGCAAACAGG
RNAcentral lists this ribosomal RNA (429 nucleotides) under Bacillota bacterium. Its description in RNAcentral is "Firmicutes bacterium partial 16S ribosomal RNA". It matches the Rfam family "Bacterial small subunit ribosomal RNA", at positions 355 to 776 of the family's 1533-position model. Lineage: Bacteria; Bacillati; Bacillota. The record is from RNAcentral.